Molecule: ribosomal RNA, 253 nt
Filed under: uncultured bacterium
Lineage: Bacteria
Description: partial 16S ribosomal RNA
Rfam family: Bacterial small subunit ribosomal RNA
Source: RNAcentral
UACGUAGGGGGCUAGCGUUGUCCGGGUUUAUUGGGCGUAAAGAGCGUGUAGGCGGCCAGGUAGGUCCGGUGUGAAAACUCGAGGCUUAACCUCGAGAUGUCAUCGGAAACCAUCUGGCUAGAGUCCGGAAGAGGAAAGUGGAAUUCCUGGUGUAGCGGUGAAAUGCGCAGAUAUCAGGAGGAACACCAAUUGCGAAGGCAGCUCGCUGGGACGUUACUGACGCUGAGACGCGAAAGCGUGGGGAGCAAACAGG